This 799-nucleotide ribosomal RNA is filed under the name Salmonella enterica. Its description in RNAcentral is "partial 23S ribosomal RNA". It matches the Rfam family "Bacterial large subunit ribosomal RNA", at positions 2149 to 2925 of the family's 2925-position model. The record is from RNAcentral. Lineage: Bacteria; Pseudomonadati; Pseudomonadota; Gammaproteobacteria; Enterobacterales; Enterobacteriaceae.
GGGAGGCUUUGAAGCGUGGACGCCAGUCUGCGUGGAGCCGACCUUGAAAUACCACCCUUUAAUGUUUGAUGUUCUAACGUGGACCCGUAAUCCGGGUUGCGGACAGUGUCUGGUGGGUAGUUUGACUGGGGCGGUCUCCUCCUAAAGAGUAACGGAGGAGCACGAAGGUUGGCUAAUCCUGGUCGGACAUCAGGAGGUUAGUGCAAUGGCAUAAGCCAGCUUGACUGCGAGCGUGACGGCGCGAGCAGGUGCGAAAGCAGGUCAUAGUGAUCCGGUGGUUCUGAAUGGAAGGGCCAUCGCUCAACGGAUAAAAGGUACUCCGGGGAUAACAGGCUGAUACCGCCCAAGAGUUCAUAUCGACGGCGGUGUUUGGCACCUCGAUGUCGGCUCAUCACAUCCUGGGGCUGAAGUAGGUCCCAAGGGUAUGGCUGUUCGCCAUUUAAAGUGGUACGCGAGCUGGGUUUAGAACGUCGUGAGACAGUUCGGUCCCUAUCUGCCGUGGGCGCUGGAAGACUGAGGGGGGCUGCUCCUAGUACGAGAGGACCGGAGUGGACGCAUCACUGGUGUUCGGGUUGUCAUGCCAAUGGCACUGCCCGGUAGCUAAAUGCGGAAAAGAUAAGUGCUGAAAGCAUCUAAGCACGAAACUUGCCCCGAGAUGAGUCUUCCCUGAGACUUUGAGUCUCCUGAAGGAACGUUAAAGACGAUGACGUUGAUAGGCCGGGUGUGUAAGCGCAGCGAUGCGUUGAGCUAACCGGUACUAAUGAACCGUGAGGCUUAACCUUACAACGCCGAAGCUGUU